Molecule: long non-coding RNA, 2732 nt
Filed under: Capsicum annuum
Lineage: Eukaryota; Viridiplantae; Streptophyta; Magnoliopsida; Solanales; Solanaceae
Description: long non-coding RNA (CANN_LNC008559)
Source: RNAcentral
AAAAGAGAAUUAGGACCUAAUGAACGUUCUUUCUUAGCUACUAAACGUAUAUGUUGAGUAUCAUGAGGUCGUAUCAUUAAUAAACGCAGGCACGUCUAGAUAUUUUCACAACAUUCCAUAGUGAAAUCAAUGCUAACAUUUUGUAGCAUGUGCUAACUUACUUGAUAUUGGAGUUCAACCAAGAUCUUGGUCUGUAGAAUGCUUGAUAUUGGAAAUCAUCCAUUUUCUCAAAUCAAUAUUGUAGCAGUCAAGUGUCUGUUUGGACUGUAGAAUGUUUGGAUAUUAGUAACUCCAAGGUCUUUCAUCAGCAACUUCAAGGUCUUUCAGAUCAAACUUGUUCUCAAACAUUUAUUUCGUUGUAUUUAUGUCAGAUUGCCCGCUCCAUUUAAGCAAGUACCGUUCGACAAUAUUGAUAUUGGAAAUCAUCCAAACAUUCUACGGUUCAAACAGGUACUUGGACUUGUAAUACCCCGUAUUAUAAUUAGCUAAGUUUAGCUUCUAGUUGCAUGCAUAAGAGGUUUAAAGCCUGAAAAUUUCACUAAGUGUUGGGGACUUAGUCAUUUUUAAGGUCACUUAACUUCGAGGAUUUUUAAAUUGGUCUUCCCGACCCCAAGAUGUUGGUUUUUGAGAUGAUUCAUGUUUAGGGGUGUAAGGAGCAUAUCUCGAAGAAGUUUUGAAUUUUUUGGACGAGAAUCGGGUAGCGUUUGGAUCACCGAAUUGAGCAGCUCACUGCAAUAGUGUCGCGUCGCGGUGCUAUUCCUGAUGGCACGUUCAUCGUGUCGCGGUGAGCAUGUAAACCGCAAUCCAGUUACGAAUUUAAUUGCCUGAGGGGAAAUUGUGUCUUUUUUCCUCAAUCCAACUCGUCAUGUCACGACUUAUAUCACUAGUUAGGGCGUUAUUUGCCCCUCUUCUUCAAUUCUCCUCUCAAAGAAACCCCAUUCAUCUCCCAAGAACAUCAAUUCAAUUACUUUCUCUUCAAGGAAACCAAGAAUUCAAGUUUUCAAAUCCAAGAACCUUCAAGAAAGCAUGAAGAUUGGUAUUUCUUUUUUCAAGAUUAAGGGUUUAAGGUAUGUGGGAGUUCAUCCAUGGGUCCCCUUUCACCCAUGGAGCCUAAGAACCCUUUUUGGUUUUUAAAUUAUGAGUUUUGAUGUUUCAAGUUGAAUUAUCUCCAUGAAUCUCUUGUUGAUUUCAAUUACGAGUUAUGGUUUCAUGUGUUUUCAAGUAGAAUGAGUCAUAUCAUGUUUGAGUAUUGAAAUUUCCAUACCAUGUUCAAUUGAUUUUAAGAUGAAUCCCCAAGUUAUAAGUUUAGCCAUGUUAUCCUUUUGUCUUCCCAUGUUUAAGACAUUCCCAUGUUCAAGUUCAUGAUUCCCAAGUGUUUGAUGAAAUGUCUAUGCUUUUGAGUCUUUGAACCAUGAUUCAAUCCCAAAGUUUUAAGCUUUAAUAUUGUAUUUUAUACCCAUUCAGUGCUGGUGGGUUAUGAACACCCGAUACCUAUAUGAUUUACAUAAAUUCAAUUUUUCAAAAAUUUAGACAAUUAAUCCAUAAAUCUUAUUAGUAUACUCAGAUAUCCAUAUUUAUGAUGAGCAAUAUCAGUUGAUGUGUUAUUAAUUAACCCAGAAUCCAUACGCACUGUCAUUUUCAGAAUACCAUGACCCGAGCUUACCAGUUAUUAGUUAAUAGUGCAUGCACCAGUUAGUAUUCCAAUGUCAUUCAAUUGGAAAUAGGAUUUAGCACCGAGUGAAACCAGGGAUGGAUUCCUGCCAUUUUAGGGUUCGACCCUUGGUAGCAAUCCCUGAGUUAUAGAACUACAUAGCCAAUAUAGGUUUGAGAUGUCUUCCUGCUAGUUUAGGGUUGACACAUAUCUCACGAGUUCUCCUGCCAGUUAGGGUGACUCUUUAGUCCUUCGGGAUACUAGUUUAGUGGAUCCACACAACCAGUGUUAGUACCUGUGGCACGGUACUGACACCCUUCCAACUGGGGUUACAGGUUGGACCCCAAUUAGCUAAAAUUGGGGCAUGUCAGUUAGAUGAUACCUCCCACAGUCUCAGUACAGUAUUCAAUAUAGUUUUAGUUCAGGUUUGCUUGACCAAAGCAUACAGACUUUCAGUUAUUCAGUUAUCAGAUUUUAGUUUUUUAGUUUACAUAUUAUUUCAGAAAUAUGCUUAUGCUUGGACUUGCAUUCUCAGAUAUUACAUUUUCAUGCAUCCAUGUUUAGUUAUCCCAUGUUGUUUAGUUAGUCCUUAUCUCAUAUACACAGUACUUCAUAGUUUCAGUGUAGUUAUUUAGACUAAGUUCAGUUUAGUAUUACAUGAUCAGUAUUUAGUCAUCAGUUAAUCAAUGUUCGGAUAUCAAUAGUCCGUGUUCAUAUAUUAGCUACUUAGUAUAUAGGUGUUGGUUAUCCCCUUUCUUAGAUUUCAAUCAUUUCGUCGCACAGGCAACAGUUAUUCAAGUAAUCAGAUUAGCUUUGGUUUCGUAUGUUCAUGUAUUCAUGUUUUACCGUACUCCAGCUUCUGCUCUACUUAUUCUACAAAAAGUAAAGUUUUAAGAAACUAAGUGUAGUGAUUCACCAGCUUAUCAGAUUAUGUUUGUUACUCAUGUUUUAAGAUAUUUCAGGUUUCAGUUUAUUUCAGUCUCUUGGUGAGUCUACUUACACUUAGCAUGCAUGUUUUAAGAUUACGUAUGAAGUCAGUUUUACUUAUUGCAUUCACCCCCACUUACUCAGUAUAUUCCAG